UACGUAGGGGGCAAGCGUUGUCCGGAUUUAUUGGGCGUAAAGAGCGUGUAGGCGGUUUGGUAGGUCCGUUGUGAAAACUCGAGGCUCAACCUCGAGACGCCGAUGGAAACCCCCUAACUAGAGUCCGGAAGAGGAGAGUGGAAUUCCUGGUGUAGCGGUGAAAUGCGCAGAUAUCAGGAAGAACACCCGUGGCUAAGGCGGCUCUCUAGUACGGUACUGACGCUGAGACGCGAAAGCGUGGGGAGCGAACAGG
This 253-nucleotide ribosomal RNA is filed under the name uncultured bacterium. RNAcentral's name for it is "partial 16S ribosomal RNA". It matches the Rfam family "Bacterial small subunit ribosomal RNA", at positions 524 to 776 of the family's 1533-position model. The record is from RNAcentral.